AUUGAACGCUGGCGGCAGGCUUAACACAUGCAAGUCGAGCGGGGGAAGGUAGCUUGCUACUGGACCUAGCGGCGGACGGGUGAGUAAUGCUUAGGAAUCUGCCUAUUAGUGGGGGACGACAUCUCGAAAGGGAUGCUAAUACCGCAUACGUCCUACGGGAGAAAGCAGGGGAUCUUCAGACCUUGCGCUAAUAGAUGAGCCUAAGUCGGAUUAGCUAGUUGGUGGGGUAAAGGCCUACCAAGGCGACGAUCUGUAGCGGGUCUGAGAGGAUGAUCCGCCACACUGGGACUGGGACACGGCCCAGACUGCUACGGGAGGCAGCAGUGGGGAAUAUUGGACAAUAGGGGGAACCCUGAUCCAGCCAUGCCGCGUGUGUGAAGAAGGCCUUAUGGUUGUAAAGCACUUUAAGCGAGGAGGAGGCUACUUUAGUUAAUACCUAGAGAUAGUGGACGUUACUCGCAGAAUAAGCACCGGCUAACUCUGUGCCAGCCGCCGCCGUAA
This 501-nucleotide ribosomal RNA is filed under the name uncultured bacterium. RNAcentral describes it as "partial 16S ribosomal RNA". It matches the Rfam family "Bacterial small subunit ribosomal RNA", at positions 30 to 523 of the family's 1533-position model. The record is from RNAcentral.